GGCUCGGUGGUGGAUGGUCUACACCUGUGUUCCCUAUGUGUUCUAGACCAUAUCAGCAGGUAAAGCCUGUUCGAAUCAGGCCCGAGCCA
Molecule: non-coding RNA, 89 nt
Organism: Mycena metata
Lineage: Eukaryota; Fungi; Basidiomycota; Agaricomycetes; Agaricales; Mycenaceae
Source: the annotation of a GenBank genome assembly